GAAGCUCUUGAUAAGCUGAUGGAAGGUCGGACCACCGUCCUCGUUGGCCACAGGCUUUCGACAGUUCACGACUCGAGCGGCGUUGCGGUGAUUCAGAAUGGGAGAGUUGUUGAGAUUGGGAGCCAUGACAAGCUGAUUGGGAAACCUGAGAGUGUUUAUAAACGGCUGGUUAGUUUGCAACAGGAGAAUGGCGAAGGGGGGAUAGUCAUAGUAGACUAGUGGUCUUAAAUAUACUGUUCAUAAAAGCGGAAAGAAAUGAAAACCAAAAGAAGCAUUGCCCAAUCAGUCCUCUCUCCGCCAUUUCCUUUUUUGUUUUUUUUUCUAAACAACAGCUACUCUCUCUACUAAUUAGGGUUGCUCUCUGUACUUGGAUUCCUCGAUCAUCAGCAGCCAAGAGCCUUUCUAAGUUUACUUCUAUUCUACUGACCUUUCCCUCGCCUUCUCGACUCUCGGAUCUACGGUAUUCUUCAGCUGCACGGCGGUGAACUUUGUUGACUCCUAAACUGACACUGAACCAGAAGCCACCAAGGUUAGCUAGAAGUAGCAUCGACAGCAUUGUGGUUGUUGGGGAAGCACAGUCGGCAGCUCAGCUGGAGAAUAAUAGAUCUGGUGGAGGGAAAUGAGUGCUUCCAGGUUCAUAAAGUGUGUCACGGUCGGCGAUGGCGCCGUCGGCAAAACCUGUUUGCUUAUUUCGUAUACCAGCAACACCUUCCCUACGG
This 719-nucleotide long non-coding RNA is filed under the name Linum usitatissimum (flax). Its description in RNAcentral is "long non-coding RNA (LUSI_LNC002312)". Lineage: Eukaryota; Viridiplantae; Streptophyta; Magnoliopsida; Malpighiales; Linaceae. The record is from RNAcentral.